RNAcentral lists this ribosomal RNA (495 nucleotides) under uncultured bacterium. RNAcentral describes it as "partial 16S ribosomal RNA". It matches the Rfam family "Bacterial small subunit ribosomal RNA", at positions 28 to 507 of the family's 1533-position model. The record is from RNAcentral.
GAUGAACGCUGGCGGCGUGCCUAAUACAUGCAAGUAGAACGCUGAAGGAGGAGCUUGCUCUUCUGGAUGAGUUGCGAACGGGUGAGUAACGCGUAGGUAACCUGCCUGGUAGCGGGGGAUAACUAUUGGAAACGAUAGCUAAUACCGCAUGACAACAGUUAUUGCAUGAUAACUGUUUAAAAGGGGCAACUGCUCCACUACCAGAUGGACCUGUGUUGUAUUAGCUAGUUGGUGAGGUAACGGCUCACCAAGGCGACGAUACAUAGCCGACCUGAGAGGGGGAUCGGCCACACUGGGAAUGGGACACGGCCCAGACUCCUACGGGAGGCAGCAGGAGGGAAUCUUGGGGAAUGGACGGAAGUCUGACCGAGCAACGCCGCGUGAGGGAAGAAGGAUUUCGGAUCGUAAAGCUCGGUUGUAAGAGAAGAAAGAGUGUGAGAGUGGAAAGUUCACACUGUGACGGUAUCUGACCAGAAAGGGACGGCUAACUACGUG